AAUUUAACCUCGCCUUAUUAUUUAAGAUAAUAUGCUGGUGACAAGCCCAGAUAAAGAGGGAGUCAAAU
This 68-nucleotide non-coding RNA is filed under the name unclassified sequences. The record is from RNAcentral.